ACUAUUUUGGCAGAAGAGUGCAUUGAAUUUAGAAUUCAAACAUGUAGAUAAAAUUAAAAAUAGUA
Molecule: transfer RNA, 65 nt
Filed under: Ruspolia dubia
Lineage: Eukaryota; Metazoa; Arthropoda; Insecta; Orthoptera; Tettigoniidae
Description: tRNA-Leu
Source: RNAcentral